Molecule: ribosomal RNA, 746 nt
Filed under: uncultured Parvimonas sp.
Lineage: Bacteria; Bacillati; Bacillota; Tissierellia; Tissierellales; Peptoniphilaceae
Description: bacterial SSU rRNA
Rfam family: Bacterial small subunit ribosomal RNA
Source: RNAcentral
GACGAACGCUGGCGGCGUGCUUAACACAUGCAAGUCGAACGUGAUUUUUGUGGAAAUUCUUUCGGGAAUGGAAAUGAAAUGAAAGUGGCGAACGGGUGAGUAACACGUGAGCAACCUACCUUACACAGGGGGAUAGCCGUUGGAAACGACGAUUAAUACCGCAUGAGACCACAGAAUCGCAUGAUAUAGGGGUCAAAGAUUUAUCGGUGUAAGAAGGGCUCGCGUCUGAUUAGCUAGUUGGAAGGGUAAAGGCCUACCAAGGCGACGAUCAGUAGCCGGUCUGAGAGGAUGAACGGCCACAUUGGAACUGAGACACGGUCCAAACUCCUACGGGAGGCAGCAGUGGGGAAUAUUGCACAAUGGGGGGAACCCUGAUGCAGCGACGCCGCGUGAGCGAAGAAGGUUUUCGAAUCGUAAAGCUCUGUCCUAUGAGAAGAUAAUGACGGUAUCAUAGGAGGAAGCCCCGGCUAAAUACGUGCCAGCAGCCGCGGUAAUACGUAUGGGGCGAGCGUUGUCCGGAAUUAUUGGGCGUAAAGGGUACGUAGGCGGUUUUUUAAGUCAGGUGUGAAAGCGUGAGGCUUAACCUCAUUAAGCACUUGAAACUGGAAGACUUGAGUGAAGGAGAGGAAAGUGGAAUUCCUAGUGUAGCGGUGAAAUGCGUAGAUAUUAGGAGGAAUACCGGUGGCGAAGGCGACUUUCUGGACUUUUACUGACGCUCAGGUACGAAAGCGUGGGGAUCAAACAGG